CAUGUGGUUGCUGGCUCCUUGAUGAUGACUUGCUAACUAGUCCAUUCUGUGCAAACAAUGAUAUGCUGCUUGAUUUCUGAGCUUUCUUCCUAGGCAUGCAGAUGGGACAUCCAGUAGACGAGCCCCUAACUGAUGCCCCAUCCUCGAGAAGUUCACAGUGAAGAUGUAUUGCAUGACCACAACUGAAAAUUUGAAUUCCAGAAUCAUCCGGGCUUUUGGCGAGUAGGCCAUUACAUA
This 237-nucleotide long non-coding RNA is filed under the name Olea europaea (common olive). RNAcentral describes it as "long non-coding RNA (OEUR_LNC002692)". Lineage: Eukaryota; Viridiplantae; Streptophyta; Magnoliopsida; Lamiales; Oleaceae. The record is from RNAcentral.